RNAcentral lists this long non-coding RNA (604 nucleotides) under Panax ginseng (ginseng). RNAcentral's name for it is "long non-coding RNA (PGIN_LNC001838)". Lineage: Eukaryota; Viridiplantae; Streptophyta; Magnoliopsida; Apiales; Araliaceae. The record is from RNAcentral.
CUUAUUCAUCCUCAGUUCACUCCUCUGAAUUAAGUCGACAUUCAUGUUGACAAUUUCAGCAUGCUGAGCCUUAGUCGACUUUAGUUCUUCCUUGGAGGCCUUCACUUCUUCCUUAGCUUGGGCCAACUCUUUCUGAAGACCUUCGUUAGUAUGAAGAAGGCCUUCACGGUGAGUCCUUUCCCGAGCCAGGGCAGAUUUUAAGAGGGAAUUUUCCUUCCUCAGCGCCUCCUCCUCGGAUUCAGCUUGGAGAGAUCUGGGACGCAGACGUCCGAAUACAGCAUUUGCCUGUACAUGUUCAGUGUUAUUCAAUCAGCUUCAGAUGUGUGAGUAUGAAAAUAAGUAAGCAAAGGAAGGAAAGAGUCAUUUACCUUAGCCAAGUAGCUCAUGCCUUCGCUGAGCAAGUCCCCAUUCGAACUGUUCCCGAACCGAUGGUCAUCGGUCUCGCGAACGAAGGCCUCGAACAGUUGAAAGGGGAAAUUGGCGUUGAACCGAGGCCACAUGGUCGGUGGACCCAUGGCAUCAUGCUGGAAUUCGGAGGUCAUCGGUCCUUGAGGAGGAGGCAUAGGCUGACUGCGAACCGGUGAAGGAUCCGCAUGCAUUGCCU